Molecule: small nuclear RNA, 57 nt
Organism: Pygocentrus nattereri (red-bellied piranha)
Lineage: Eukaryota; Metazoa; Chordata; Actinopteri; Characiformes; Serrasalmidae
Gene: U7
Rfam family: U7 small nuclear RNA
About the family: Animal histone pre-mRNAs are spliced by a different mechanism than nuclear pre-mRNAs and self-splicing introns. This processing involves the U7 snRNP, which contains only one RNA species: U7. The 5' end of U7 RNA is thought to base-pair to a conserved spacer element downstream of the cleavage site in histone pre-mRNA.
Source: Ensembl
AAAUGAGUAUGUUUUUUAGUAUUUGUCAAGCAGGUUUCUUCCAACAAAGAAGCCCCU